Molecule: long non-coding RNA, 336 nt
Organism: Cyprinus carpio carpio
Lineage: Eukaryota; Metazoa; Chordata; Actinopteri; Cypriniformes; Cyprinidae
Source: Ensembl
CGCUUCAUUAGCACUGCUGAUUCCUACCUUUAUGCACCUGUCAGAGAGAGACUUCCACUACAGUUAAAUGAGGAAAAGAGCAGGGGGUGGGGGACAGAAGAGGUCAGAACAGUACAGUUAAAAACCGAAGUAGAAAACAUUUUUAACCAAAGCGACUUAUUUUAAUAACAACAGUUGCUGAGGUUAGAUGCCCUGAGCUUCAGCACAUAGUGUUGUAGUUACUUUAUGGAACUUUACAAGCCGGUCCAUCAGUUAUGUGUGAGCUCCAGGCGAGGGGAGGGCUCAGGGGCGUUUGGAAGCCCAGGCUGAGCUCUCUUACUGGGCUGUAAUCCUGGC